GACCUCAGAUCAGGCAGGAUUACCCGCUGAACUUAAGCAUAUCAAUAAGCGGAGGAAAAGAAACUAACAAGGAUUCCCCUAGUAGCGGCGAGCGAAGCGGGAAGAGCUCAAAUUUGUAAUCUGGCGCUUUCAGCGUCCGAGUUGUAAUCUCUAGAAAUGUUUUCCGCGUUGGACCGCACACAAGUCUGUUGGAAUACAGCGGCACAGUGGUGAGACCCCCGUUCAUGGUGCGGAUGCCCAAUGCUUUGUGAUACAUUUUCGAAGAGUCGAGUUGUUUGGGAAUGCAGCUCAAAUUGGGUGGUAAAUUCCAUCUAAAGCUAAAUAUUGGCGAGAGACCGAUAGCGAACAAGUACCGUGAGGGAAAGAUGAAAAGCACUUUGGAAAGAGAGUUAACAGUACGUGAAAUUGUUGGAAGGGAAACGCUUGAAGUCAGACUUGCUUGCCGGAGCUUGCUUCGGUUUGCAGGCCAGCAUCAGUUUUCCGGGGUGGAUAAUGGUGGUUUGAAGGUAGCAGCCUCGGCUGUGUUAUAGCUUUCCACUGGAUACAUCCUGGGGGACUGAGGAACGCAGCGUGCUUUUUGCGAAGGUUUCGACCUUUUCACGCUUAGGAUGCUGGUGUAAUGGCUUUAAACGACCCGUCUUGUAACACGGACCAAGGAGUCUAACAUGCUUGCGAGUAUUUGGGUGUCAAACCCGGAUGCGCAAUGAAAGUGAAUGUAGGUGGGAACCGCAAGGUGCACCAUCGACCGAUCUGGAUCUUUUGAGAUGGAUUUGAGUAAGAGCGCGUAUGUUGGGACCCGAAAGAUGGUGAACUAUGCCUGAAUAGGGCGAAGCCAGAGGAAACUCUGGUGGAGGCUCGUAGCGGUUCUGACGUGCAAAUCGAUCGUCAAAUUUGGGUAUAGGGGCGAAAGACUAAUCGAACCAUCUAGUAGCUGGUUCCUGCCGAAGUUUCCCUCAGGAUAGCAGAAA
This 968-nucleotide ribosomal RNA is filed under the name Crypthecodinium cohnii. RNAcentral describes it as "partial Eukaryotic large subunit ribosomal RNA". It matches the Rfam family "Eukaryotic large subunit ribosomal RNA", at positions 1 to 987 of the family's 3401-position model. The record is from RNAcentral. Lineage: Eukaryota; Dinophyceae; Gonyaulacales; Crypthecodiniaceae.